UACGUAGGGGGCAAGCGUUGUCCGGAUUUAUUGGGCGUAAAGAGCGUGUAGGCGGCCAAGCAGGUCCGCUGUGAAAACUCGAGGCUCAACCUCGAGACGUCGGUGGAAACCGUUUGGCUAGAGUCCGGAAGAGGAGAGUGGAAUUCCCGGUGUAGCGGUGAAAUGCGCAGAUAUCGGGAAGAACACCCGUGGCGAAGGCGGCUCUCUGGGACGGUACUGACGCGUGAGACGCGAAAAGCGUGGGGAGCGAACGAGG
RNAcentral lists this ribosomal RNA (256 nucleotides) under uncultured bacterium. RNAcentral describes it as "partial 16S ribosomal RNA". It matches the Rfam family "Bacterial small subunit ribosomal RNA", at positions 524 to 777 of the family's 1533-position model. The record is from RNAcentral.